AAAAUACCAGUUCCCAUACAAUUACUGAAGUUAAGCAAUGUUGGGCAUGAUCAGUACUUAGAUGGGUGACCACUUGAGAUUACUAGGUGCUGUAAG
This is a non-coding RNA of Acanthosepion pharaonis, 96 nucleotides long. The record is from the annotation of a GenBank genome assembly. Lineage: Eukaryota; Metazoa; Mollusca; Cephalopoda; Sepiida; Sepiidae.